GUAGGUCCCCGAUCAUAUCAUUAUUAUUAUGCUCUCAGCUUACCUGUGACAGAGGGAAAGAGUAGCAAGAGACGGACCCAACCUUCAUGUAAACUUGUUUUCUUCUGCUCCUUCACCCACUUCAUCUUCAACCUAUGUGAUCAAUGUGAAGAUGAAGAUGCAACUCUGAUCAGAAAAUGUUACCCUGGAGGGCUUUUAAGUUCCCAUAUUAGCUCUUCCUGCAAGCACUAAACGAGGAUUUCUGGAGGUUGCUCACUCUUACUCAUGAAUAUGUCAUAAUUGCAUUGCCGUUCACACACCAGACAGGUCCUUCCCUGGCAUCUUGGGAUGGAGUUAAAAUCAGAAAAUUUUAUGUUGAGCAAGGUCAGAGUUGAUACAAGUAAUAAUGAACUGGCAUCUUCAGAACAUGGGAGCUUCCUCUUGCACAAGACUUUUUGUCCCAGAUAUGAUUUAGAGCCACUGAAUAUUACUCUGAGAAAUGAGAUUUUACUGACGGCAUUUACAGAAACUCCUCGAUGAUAAUGGUGAAAGCAAUUUGCAACCUCCUGCGUAAAACCAGGGUCACAAGCUACUAGCAGAAUCUGAAGCAACUCGGUAGCUGAUACCUAUAGUAUUGAGUGUGCCUCAUAAAGAUCGUACGUUCUCUACUAUGAGAGAGUUCCCCUUGGCAACUUCAAAACCUGUCUUUGAAUUUAUUGUUGGAAGACAGUGAAACUAAAUUUUAUUUUUAGCGUUAAGUCAGACACAGUUUUACGUCCUCUCAAAAUAGUAUUGCUGAUAGUUUUUCCUCCUUUCACUUUAAAGCAGAAUGUAAUAAAUUCAAGUUUAUGGGACUGAACUGUAAGAGCUCAAUUGCUCGGUUCACGUGAUAAGUAAUUUUUCUUAGUU
Molecule: long non-coding RNA, 888 nt
Organism: Neltuma alba
Lineage: Eukaryota; Viridiplantae; Streptophyta; Magnoliopsida; Fabales; Fabaceae
Exons: 2
Source: RefSeq, a predicted model, not a curated record